CAAUUUUCCGAAAUAGUGACAAAAAAAUAUCAAUGCUGGAUACUAUGUAUCUAGUAAUUGGAAUGAGUACAAUUUAAAUCCCUUAACAAGUAACAAUUAGAGGGCAAGUCUGGUGCCAGCAGCCGCGGUAAUUCCAGCUCUAAUAGCGUAUAUUAAUAUUGUUGCAGUUAAAAAAGCUCGUAGUUGAAAUUUGGGACUUUAUUAUAUUGGUUUACCUUUUGGUGAACUGUAUGAUGGGUUUCUUCCUACUAGAGUUCGAUUCUGUUCUUAACUGAAUGGAGUAGCUAUCUCUCGGGGUAGUCAGUUGGUUAUUAUAUCUCCACUAAUAAGCAGAGAGGAGUAAAAUCUUCAAAGUAAGUUAUGUGGGUCAAGGUAUAGUGAUUAAUUGGAGUUCUAGUUCAUUUACUUUGAGAAAUUAGAGUGUUUAAAGCAGCCUCUUGGGGCACUGAAUACAUUAGCAUGGGAU
Molecule: ribosomal RNA, 466 nt
Filed under: uncultured eukaryote
Lineage: Eukaryota
Description: partial 18S ribosomal RNA
Rfam family: Eukaryotic small subunit ribosomal RNA
Source: RNAcentral